Molecule: unclassified non-coding RNA, 231 nt
Filed under: Hevea brasiliensis (rubber tree)
Lineage: Eukaryota; Viridiplantae; Streptophyta; Magnoliopsida; Malpighiales; Euphorbiaceae
Source: RNAcentral
UUGAGCCCGGACAGCCCUCAACGUAUUUUGAUGGCCAUAGGUGUGGCGGAAUCGUACCGCCACCGUCGUUUCUAAGGGGCUCCGAUGCGCAAGAUUGCUGUACUUCUCCUCGCUGCCGCGGGCGUUGGCCUGGCAGGCGCGGCUUCCGCAGCCGAUCUCGGCACCGCGCCGAUCUAUCGCAAGGCACCACCUCCGGUGCAGGUCUUCUCGUGGACCGGCGGUUACAUCGGU